UUUGACCUCGGAUCAGGUAGGGAUCCCGCUGAACUUAGCAUAUCAAUAAGCGGAGGAA
This 58-nucleotide ribosomal RNA is filed under the name Parastagonospora nodorum. Its description in RNAcentral is "partial 28S ribosomal RNA". Lineage: Eukaryota; Fungi; Ascomycota; Dothideomycetes; Pleosporales; Phaeosphaeriaceae. The record is from RNAcentral.